Molecule: unclassified non-coding RNA, 238 nt
Filed under: Hevea brasiliensis (rubber tree)
Lineage: Eukaryota; Viridiplantae; Streptophyta; Magnoliopsida; Malpighiales; Euphorbiaceae
Source: RNAcentral
AGCUGGAGGAGAGAAGUGGAAAUCGAUGUCUUCUGCUGAAAAAGCUCCAUAUGAAGCCACAGCUGCCAAAAAGAAGGAUGAGUAUGGGAAACUUAUGAACGCAUACAACAGGAAGCAGGAGAGUACAGCUGAUGAUGGUGAUGCAGAGUCAGACAGGUCAAAAUCUGAAGUGAAUGAUGAAGAUGAUGAGGCUACUGGAGAGGUUAGCUUACCAAUUUGUUUAAUUCUUUUAACAAUG